CUGAGAGGGUUACGCCCCAAUGAAAAUCUUUUGGGUUUCAUCUCCAUAAGAGUGGUUGAGUUUUUACGUUGGCUCGCCAAGCCUAUCACAACCCUCCUCCUUUACCCGGGCUUGGGACCGGCUAUGUUGAGACAACAUAGGCGGAGUUUUCUCGCAGAUUGUUGAAAGGUUCAAUUUUAUCUCAUGAGAUGAUGUGUAUGUGGUUGCGACUUAAAGGUUGUCUUUAACUCUUAUUCUUGAGAUGGUGCGUUCUUGUGACAAUUACUUACUAAAAGCACGUCUUUGCUCUCAUUAAACAAAAUUUUAAGGUAAUUAACAUGGGGGAGAGAGAGUCACCACCUGAAUCACUAAAACAAUUUAGUAACAUCCAUUGAGGUGGUAUUAAAAUGUACUGUUACUAGUCAACAAAGAUCUGGUCUUAAAUAUUAUGCACUUUAUUGCUAAUUAUGCCUCAUUGUCUAUAUCCGCCGCUACAUCAUGGGUGCAUUUUUGUAGUCGAAUAUGUUGCCGAUGUAUAUGCUCGGCUGAGAAAACACAAAAUUUAUUGUGGUGGGUGUUUUUAUGGUGACCUGCUACUCAUUUGAGAUACAGAUAGACUACUAGUUAUUCAGCAUUGUGGAUAUGGAAAAUGAUAUGUUGUUAUAUGUUUUCCUGAGACUACAUUCAUCCGUACUCUUGGAUUGGAUCUUCUCAAAAGAUGUGAGCCUGGGUUGGCCAUCUUCAAGAGUAAUCCUGCUCCUAUCUAUGGUCUGCUCUUAUCUUCAAGGAUAAAUGAUUUGUGAAGCUUACCUACCGGAGAUACCUCGAUGAUAAUGCUGCUAAGUUAUUCUGUCUUUGGAGCCUAGGGCCUGGAUUGCAAACUCAAGAUACAGACUGUAAAGAGCCUUCUGCUCUUGGGCGUGGACCCUGACGAGGUCUGCAUGAGAUUUGCAAAGGAGUUGGACGUGCAGGGGCAUGGGAUCCCGGUUAGGUGACAGUGGUCAAUGCCACCUACAUGGGCAUGGAUGCCCUCCACUUUGCAUGCGGCCUCGGUAAGCUGCCGGUCUACCAGUAGCUCGUGUAGGAGGUCAAGAUGGAUGUCGACACGCUGAAACCGAUCUGGGUUCAGGUCUGCAUCAAAGGUAGCAUCUAGCUCAUCGACAAGGGUGUCCACGUGGGUUAUCAAUGGCGUGGUCCUAAAAGACGAGAAGCACGGCUGUCGUGACGAUGGUGGACAUCGCCACCUACCUGCUGCCCAAGAAGACCAAGCCUAGCUAGCCUGAUGCCUCCCCUUCUUCACAGUCCCACGCUAGGAGAGGAGGAGGGGCGGCCACUGCUUCCUUCGCUGAGCUCGCCUCCACCGGGCUGCUUGUGCAGUUUGGUGCAGGAUUUGGCUCCGCGGUUCAAUUUCAAUGUUGUGGGGGAACUGGUGCCGUUGUGGGCUACCUGUCCUUAAGGUUCAUCUUCCAACGAUUGUAGCCAUGUCGAGGUUAGGCCCCGCUUCCUGCCAUGUGCACGCUGCUCGCUUGCCCAACACCGUACCCUACAUGCGUACCCUACAUGCGCUCCUCCAUGAACCUCGUCAGAUGCUGUGAGGCUGAGGGAACUUGAUAUGCUCAAGGGACAUGUGCGGUCGGUUGUCUAGCUGAAAGCGCUCGACAUCGAGACCUUCCAGCAGUCCAUAUGCGGUUUGAUGUUGUGGGCUCCCAUGUCUGCCUCCCUGGCUACAACCAUUCUGGAUGGAUUAUAGUGAGUCGACGCCAAACAGCAGGGGUCAUACAAUAAGCAAGGUGGGAGGAUGCCAUCUCUCGCACUACUACUAAGGUGCAGAAGAGAUAGUGUGCACGUGGAGAAGGCGCCCAAUAUCACCAGCGAGAUCUACUUCAACUGUUGGUAAAGAAAGAACGAGGCACCCUUGCUCAUCUUCACAACCUUACAUGGGUGUGUGCCGAAUGCUUCUUCUUCCAGAACAGUGAAACCCAUGUCCGCACCUACCCAUCUCCAUCUGGAUGGUUAUUCAUACUUUGAUGUCUGGAUGGAUUACAGCUAAACAGCAUGGGGUGCAUACAACAAGUGAAGUGGGAGAAUACCAUCUCUCAUGGUACUACUCAGCCACCAGAUGGAGGCGGCAGCGAACCCUAGCCGUGCCCCUGCUGCUCUUCCCCAACGUGCCGCUCGGCUAUCCCUUCGCAUCCGGUGGACAGAAUCGACUCCGGUGGUAUAGAACAAUGAAACCCAUGUCCAGACCUGCUCAUCUCCAUCUGGAUGAUUUUUCAUUCUUUGCCGUCCGGAUAGAUUAUAGUGAGUCGACACCAAAUAGUAGGGUUGCAUACGACAAGCAAAGUGGGAGGAUGCCAUCUCUCGCACUGCUACCCAGGUGCAGGACAGAACUGCCAUGUAGUGUGCCCAUGUGAUUCUUCUUCCACUCUGACGGCUCCCGCCCUUCCCCUUAGGUGGCCCCCAUUACUCUUCCGCUCUGUCAGAGCUGAUGAUAAGGAGAAUUUGUUCCUCUAAGGCCAUCCCGGCACAGAUAAGGAGAAUUUGUGCCUCUAGGGCCACCCUGAUGCAGAUAAGAAGAGAAUAGAGACCAAGCCUUCCUGCAUCAUGCUUGACCAUGUAGUCCUCCCCGCGUUCGUCGUCCUCCGAACCCUGGGAGUGGUCUGGAAUGAUGGCGAGGAUGGCGACGCAGUCUAUGCUUGAGAUGAUGGAAGGUCAGUUAGCUGCUGGAAAUCUGAUCCUCCGAAGGGUGAGAAUACAGGGGAGAGCAUAUCUGUCCAAAGAAAAGAAAAGGCUGGAAGUUGUGGUUGGUAGGGCCACAGAGGUAACUUGACAUGCUCAAGUGGCUUUCUAUCUGGGUUGUGGCCAGAAGCUGGCUGUUAGAUUCAUCGACUUCUCAGUUAGUUUGUUGUGGUGUUGAAAUAGCUUCUUGUUUUUAGAAUUGUGGUGAAGAGCUAAGUUGGCUUCCUGUUGUUGAUUUUUGUUGUUGUGGAAGAUAUUGUCUUGGCAGGAUGAUUUUGAAUGAGCUGGAUGCUUUACAAAGGAAUGAAUUCGAUUUGAGUGCA
Molecule: long non-coding RNA, 3041 nt
Organism: Triticum aestivum (bread wheat)
Lineage: Eukaryota; Viridiplantae; Streptophyta; Magnoliopsida; Poales; Poaceae
Exons: 16
Source: RefSeq, a predicted model, not a curated record